UACAUGGGGUGCAAACGUUGCUCGGAAUCAUUGGGCGUAAAGCGCACGUAGGCGGUUCGUUAUGUCGGAUGUGAAAGCCCUCGGCUUAACCGGGGAAGUGCAUCCGAAACUGGCGAGCUUGAGUACUAAAGAGGGUCGCGGAAUUCCCGGUGUAGAGGUGAAAUUCGUAGAUAUCGGGAGGAACACCAGCGGCGAAGGCGGCGACCUGGGUAGAUACUGACGCUGAGGUGCGAAAGCGUGGGGAGCAAACAGG
RNAcentral lists this ribosomal RNA (253 nucleotides) under uncultured bacterium. Its description in RNAcentral is "partial 16S ribosomal RNA". It matches the Rfam family "Bacterial small subunit ribosomal RNA", at positions 524 to 776 of the family's 1533-position model. The record is from RNAcentral.